AUUGAACGCUGGCGGCAGGCCUAACACAUGCAAGUCGAGCGGAUGAAGGGAGCUUGCUCCUGGCUUCAGCGGCGGACGGGUGAGUAAUGCCUAGGAAUCUGCCUGGUAGUGGGGGAUAACGUCCGGAAACGGGCGCUAAUACCGCAUACGUCAUGAGGGAGAAAGUGGGGGAUCUUCGGACAUCACGCUAUUAGAUGAGCCUAGGUCGGAUUAGCUAGUUGGUGGGGUAAAGGCCUACCAAGGCGACGAUCCGUAACUGGUCUGAGAGGAUGAUCAGUCACACUGGAACUGAGACACGGUCCAGACUCCUACGGGAGGCAGCAGUGGGGAAUAUUGGACAAUGGGCGAAAGCCUGAUCCAGCCAUGCCGCGUGUGUGAAGAAGGUCUUCGGAUUGUAAAGCACUUUAAGUUGGGAGGAAGAGCAGUAAGUUAAUACCUUGCUGUUUUGACGGUACCAACAGAAUAAGCACCGGCUAACUUCGUG
This 484-nucleotide ribosomal RNA is filed under the name uncultured bacterium. RNAcentral describes it as "partial 16S ribosomal RNA". It matches the Rfam family "Bacterial small subunit ribosomal RNA", at positions 30 to 507 of the family's 1533-position model. The record is from RNAcentral.